RNAcentral lists this long non-coding RNA (867 nucleotides) under Marmota monax (woodchuck). The record is from RNAcentral. Lineage: Eukaryota; Metazoa; Chordata; Mammalia; Rodentia; Sciuridae.
GCUUUUUCUGCAUAUCCCACUGUAGCAGAGUCAGCUGCCUAUAGUGAAGGUGAGCAGAGUCCCACUCUGGACAGUGGCUUGUGUGUGUUGGUAAGCUUUGGCCUUCUUGCAGUGCAGAGGCCCUGUGGGACUCUCUUGGUCUGUUGUGGCUGGUAACUAUGCCACCAAGGUGCUGCAUCUGUGGGGUACCAAUCAGCAAACAGUGAUUGAUUCUAGGCCCAAGCAUCCCUGUCUAAAGAUGAAAGACCAAAUUGGCAAAGAAAGGGUGCGUUGAAGGUGUCACUGUGCAAAGUACAAAAGGGCAGAUGAUGAAUAGUGGUGCAAUUCUAUAAGUAGUACAGGCGGUCAGGGUCAGCUCACAGAGGAGGGAACAGGACAGGUGUCAGUGCUGCUGUGUUCUCUGUCAUCAUUGCACCUCACCUUUUCUCACCAUGCCUUACACAGUCUACCUCAUUCAAAAUGUGUUUUCUGUUGUGUGAUACAUUGUUGCUUAUUUUGAUACAAAGUGGUGUGAAUUCUUCAUGAACAAAAGUGAUGAUUUUUAAAAGCUGUCCCACGUUUAUCAAGUGACUCGAUGUCUCCUUGUGCAGCUGUCUCUUACUCCAGACUGAGAAGCAUGAGCCCACUUACCCCAUCGCAACCUUCUCAGCAUGUUAGAGAUGAGUACAUUCCGACUCCAGAGGGAAGGAGCUUCAAGAGGUGUCACGGGAACUGAGUGGUGGUGUUAAGUUUCUCCCCUACUCUACUCAUAAGCAUUUUGUAAUUCUGUAAAAGAGAAAAACUAGCAAGAUAGGUAGAAUGUUUAUCUAAAACUUAAGAAAGAUUUUUGCUUCUAAGUUACUGAGUUUCAAGGAAAUAUUUUUAAAG